UCCCUAGUAGCUCAGUUGGUAAAGAAUCUGCCUGCAAUGCAGGAGACCCAGGUUCGAUCCUGGGGUCGGGAA
Molecule: transfer RNA, 72 nt
Filed under: Bos taurus (domestic cattle)
Lineage: Eukaryota; Metazoa; Chordata; Mammalia; Artiodactyla; Bovidae
Also listed under: 3 other names
Rfam family: tRNA
About the family: Transfer RNA (tRNA) molecules are approximately 80 nucleotides in length. Their secondary structure includes four short double-helical elements and three loops (D, anti-codon, and T loops).
Source: Rfam by way of RNAcentral